Molecule: ribosomal RNA, 406 nt
Filed under: uncultured bacterium
Lineage: Bacteria
Description: partial 16S ribosomal RNA
Rfam family: Bacterial small subunit ribosomal RNA
Source: RNAcentral
AUCGAACGCUGGCGGCAGGCCUAACACAUGCAAGUCGUACGAGUGGCGGACGGGUGAGUAAUGUCUGGGAAACUGCCUGUUGGUGGGGGAUACCUACUGGAAACGGCAGCUCAUACCGCAUACCAUCGGAUGUGCCCAGAUGGGAUUAGCUAGUAGGUGGGGUAACGGCUCACCUAGGCGACGAUCCCUAGCUGGUCUGAGAGGAUGACCAUCCACACUGGAACUGAGACACGGUCCAGACUCCUACGGGAGGCAGCAGUGGGGAAUAUUGCAAGAUGGGGGCAAGCCUGAUGCAGCCUUGGAGCGUGAGUGAAUGAUGCCUUCGGGUUGUGAAGUACUUUCAGCGGGGAGGCGUUACCCGCAGAAGUAGCACCGGCUAAGUCCGUGCCAGCAGCCGCGGUAAUUC